GUGACCUGCGGAGGAUCAUUAAAGAAUACAAGGCUUCACAGCCCUAUUCUCACCCUUUGCAUACCGAACUUUGUUGCUUUGGCAGGCCUUCCCGGCUUAGGCUGGACUCGCGCCUGCCAGAGGACCCAAACUCUUGAAUUAUUGCAGUCUGAGAAAACUAUACAAUAGUUAAAACUUUCAACAACGGAUCUCUUGGUUCUGGCAUCGAUGAAGAACGCAGCGAAAUGCGAUAAGUAAUGUGAAUUGCAGAAUUCAGUGAAUCAUCGAAUCUUUGAACGCACAUUGCGCCCUCUGGUAUUCCGGGGGGCAUGCCUGUUCGAGCGUCAUUACAACCCUCACGCCUCGCGUGGUAUUGGGCUCGCCCUGUAGGGCUUGCCUCAAAGUCAGUGGCGGCACCGUUUGACCCCUAAGCGUAGUAAUACUUGUCGCUUCUGGUGUCGUGUGGAGGCCUGCCAGCAACCCCCAAUUUUUUUAAGGUUGACCUCGGAUCAGGUAGGGAUACCCGCUGAACUUAAGCAUAUCAAAA
This 526-nucleotide ribosomal RNA is filed under the name uncultured fungus. Its description in RNAcentral is "eukaryotic LSU rRNA". The stretch from base 173 to 326 matches the Rfam family "5.8S ribosomal RNA". Lineage: Eukaryota; Fungi. The record is from RNAcentral.